AGUAUGAAAGUCGGAAAGCUCAUCACUAGGAAACCAAUGAAACUGAAGCGCUUAUGACGAAACAAAAGGGGAAACCACCUAGUCAUAUGGACUCAAGCAAGGAAAAAUCUGAUGUACGCAGCCUAUUUUCUGGCAAAUGCCAUGCUUGUGGUAAAUUUGGGCAUAUGAGUUGCUCAUGUUCUAUGAAGAGAAAAGGAAAAACCCCAAGAGAUAAAAUACUGAACGAAAAAGGAUUGAUGAAACCUGAAACUAGUCUGAUCUGUAUGAUGUCUGAUUUAGACCAAAAUACCUGAGUGUUCGAUACAGCAGCCAC
RNAcentral lists this long non-coding RNA (313 nucleotides) under Androctonus crassicauda. Lineage: Eukaryota; Metazoa; Arthropoda; Arachnida; Scorpiones; Buthidae. The record is from RNAcentral.